CAGCAGCAGCACUGAAUGCUAAGAGCCAGGUGAUAUUUGCGUAUUGUAUUUUACUUUACCCUUGCAAUGAGCCUAACGUAGGUGUUAUCACUGGCCCCAUUUGACAGAUGAAGGGAUUGAGACUUGGAGUGGUUAAGUGGAAGCAACAAGACUCGAACCCAGAGAGUUAGGUUCCAGAUCCUGUCCUUUUGCCAAUUAGUUCUAAACCUCGUCACUAGUUUAAUUCAUUCUGAAAUUUCCCCUCUUCCACAAAGCCUUCUGUAGUAAACAGGAAGAGGAAGUUCCCCUUCCAGAUUCACUCAGGCUUUGCCGCCAUCAGCUCCAUGGAAUUUAGACAGCAGCUCUUGCAGGGGUGGACCAUGCCUGGGUGGGGAGCAUUCUACAGAGGGCUUGCUGUGCCCCUUCUGAGUCCCCAGUCAUUGAUACGUGCAGGGGAUGCAAACAACCUUUAAUAUUUGCAGGAGCAAAAUGCAGCGUGGAAAGUAAAAUCUAACACAAAAUAAGCAAAGCAUUUGAAAGUCAAAUAAAACUGACCUUUGCUUUAGCCACUAUUUGGGAUUAUGUGAGCCAUGGCUGGUGACUCAGAACCUGUUUGAUGGAUACCUAAUGAUUUAAUUAGAACCACAAACUUUCAGGGCUGGAAAGGACUGCACAAAUCACUUUGUUUAACUCCUCUGUGUUACCGAUGAGGAAACUGAGGCCCAGAGAAGGGUAAUGAUAUCUUUGAGGCCUCUUGGCCAGGAAAUACUGGGAGCCAAUUCUUCUGAGUCUCAGACCAUGCAUUACUAAGUAAAUAGAGGCAAUAAAAACACUUACUAGCAAUUCGUGCUAAGAAUAGUGGCUAAUUCUCAUCACAUCACCCCAGGUGGAUGCUGUUAUUUUCAUUUUGCAGAUGAGAAAACUAAGGCUCAAGGAUAUAUCAGCAAGGUUAUUGGACUGACCCACCAAAAGGUGGGGGAGAUUUUGACAUGGAGACACAGAUAUGCAUACACGGAUGUGUUGAUGAAGGCAGAGAUUGGGGUGAUGCGGCAGAAGCCAAGGAGCACUGGAUUGCCAGCAAACCAGCAGGAGGUGGGAGAGAGGCAUGGAACAGAUUCUUCCUCACAAGCUUCAGAGGGAACCAGCCCUACAGACACCUUGGUCUUGGACUUCUAGCCUCCAGAACUGUGAGACAAUACAUUUCUGUAAUUUAAGCUGCUCAAUUGGUGGUACUUUUUUACAGCAACCCUAGCAAACUAACACAGACUUAAGACAGACAAUGGUGACAUCAUGAAGCUAAGUUAAGAGUCAGACCCAUAAUUCUAUUAGUUUAAAAACCAUAUGUAGAUACAUACAGGGAAGUAGAAAUGGGUGGGUGGAUUGACAGAUAGACGGAAAGAAAGAGAGAUAUACAAAGAGAGAAAGAGAAAGAAAGAAAGAAGAAAGAGAGAGAGAGAAAGAGAGAGAGAGAGAGAGAGAGAAAUGAUAGCUCUGACUGCUGUGUAGGCACUGUGCCUGGGUCUUCCCAAGCCCAGGAGCUCUCCCAUACAGUGCUGGGGACAUACUAUUCGUCUGUACCGUUGAGUCUUGGGAAAAACAUCCCACAAGCAGACAAUGUGAUGUACAUUGCACAAUCACUAUGCUAAUUAGUCCUUGUGAGCAACCUGUGAUAUAGAUACAGUCAUGUGUCGCUUAACAACAGGAAUACAUUCUGAUAAAUGUGUCACAAGGCAAUUUUGUCAUUGUGUGAACAUCUUAGAGUAUACUUAAACCAAGAUGGGAUGGCCUACUAUACUUCUAGGUUAUAUGGUAUAUCCUGUUGCUCCUAGGCUACAAACCUGUACAGCAUGUUACUGUAUUGAAUACUAUAGGUAAUUGUAUUUGUCUAUCUAAACAUAUUUAAACAUAGAAAAGGUACAGUGAAAACACAAUAUAAAAGAUAAAAAAAAAUACCACACCUGUAUAGGGCACUUAGCAAGAAUGGAACUUGCAGGACUGGAAGUUGCUCUGGGUAAGUCAGUGGUAAGUGAAUGUGAAGGCCUAGGACAUUACUGUAUGCUACUAUAGACUAUAAACAGUAUAUGUAGAUACAUAACAGGGAAGUAGAAAUGGGUGGGUGGAUUGACAGACGGAAAGAAAGAGAGAAAGAGAGAGAUAUACGAAGAGAUGUGCAUUUA
Pan troglodytes (chimpanzee) is the source of this 2156-nucleotide long non-coding RNA. RefSeq lists it as uncharacterized. NCBI's taxonomy places the organism in Eukaryota, Metazoa, Chordata, Mammalia, Primates, Hominidae. The record is from RefSeq and is a predicted model, not a curated record. The transcript is spliced from 3 exons.